Molecule: non-coding RNA, 156 nt
Filed under: Nocardioides sp.
Lineage: Bacteria; Bacillati; Actinomycetota; Actinomycetes; Propionibacteriales; Nocardioidaceae
Also listed under: 1 other name
Source: RNAcentral
GCCUGACCAGCGGCACGAGGUGCCCCGACGCCGGCAACGGCCAGGGGAGAAUCUGGGAAGCCGGUGAAAGUCCGGCACAGGCCCGCUGCGGUAACCCACGGCUCCGAGCACGGAGACCUGGGAAGUCCGAAGACCGGCCCCGCGCCACGCAUCAUC